CCCAAAAAUCUCAAUUUUCAGCUUCUCACUCAUUUUGCACUUAAUUUUAGCCAUCUACGGAGAAAACCACUACUUCUAUGUACUCUGUAAUCUACUGCCAAGAAAUAACAAAGCAAGCAACAAAGCUUAAUGUUUUUCUCUUAGGAAACUUGUAUUCACGAUCGAUCUCCGCCCUAUUGUCUCGUUUUUUUCAAUUUGAAGGUUUAAACUUUUUAAUUGUGUUUAAUUUGUAAAGGUUACAAGGAAAUUAGAUUCAACCACCGGCGAAGUUAAGAAGCUCAGUCGCUACCGCACCAGAACCUGUUGGUCUUGGGUUUCAAAAAUCGGAAGUACUCCUGAGAAGCUUUUCUUUGAACUUUGUGGAAUGGAAUCAAUAGAAGCUGAGAAGCCUCUUAGCAUACAAAAUAUGUGUGGAUCUUUGUUGCAGCGACUACUGGAAUCCUAAUGUAGCAACUAUAGCAACUUAGUUACGAUUCACUAUCCCUAUCAUUGCCGAAAAAUGGGUUUUGUCCUCCAUCGGAGUUAAAUGGAGAAGUUGGAAGCAUUAUUCGAAAACGAGGUAUUGGGCUGACGUACCUAUCGAGCCGUUAAUACAUGACAAGGAUGACAGAGUUUUGGAAGAU
This is a long non-coding RNA of Salvia splendens (bonfire salvia), 623 nucleotides long. RefSeq lists it as uncharacterized. NCBI's taxonomy places the organism in Eukaryota, Viridiplantae, Streptophyta, Magnoliopsida, Lamiales, Lamiaceae. The transcript is spliced from 3 exons. The record is from RefSeq and is a predicted model, not a curated record.